RNAcentral lists this ribosomal RNA (279 nucleotides) under uncultured bacterium. Its description in RNAcentral is "partial 16S ribosomal RNA". It matches the Rfam family "Bacterial small subunit ribosomal RNA", at positions 506 to 784 of the family's 1533-position model. The record is from RNAcentral.
UGCCAGCCGCCGCGGUAACACGGGGGGCGCAAGCGUUAUUCGGAAUUACUGGGCGUAAAGCGAGUGUAGGCGGCUAGGCAAGUCGGAUGUGAAAUCCCAGGGCCCAACCCUGGAACUGCAUCCGAAACUGCUUGGCUUGAGUCCCGGAGAGGAUGGCGGAAUUUCCGGUGUAGAGGUGAAAUUCGUAGAUACCGGAAGGAACACCAGUGGCGAAGGCGGCCAUCUGGACGGUGACUGACGCUGAGACUCGAAAGCGUGGGGAGCAAACAGGAUUAGAUA